CGGGACGGGGUGGAGUAAUGUCUGGGAAACGUGCCUGAUGGAGGGGGGUAACUACUGGAAACGGUAGCUAAUACCGCAUAACGUCGCAAGACCAAAGAGGGGGACCGUUCGGGCCUCUUGCCAUCGGAUGUGCCCAGAUGGGAUUAGCUAGUAGGUGGGGUAACGGCUCACCUAGGCGACGAUCCCUAGCUGGUCUGAGAGGAUGACCAGCCACACUGGAACUGAGACACGGUCCAG
RNAcentral lists this ribosomal RNA (237 nucleotides) under uncultured bacterium. RNAcentral's name for it is "partial 16S ribosomal RNA". It matches the Rfam family "Bacterial small subunit ribosomal RNA", at positions 104 to 334 of the family's 1533-position model. The record is from RNAcentral.